RNAcentral lists this transfer RNA (87 nucleotides) under Halopiger aswanensis. RNAcentral describes it as "tRNA-Gly". It matches the Rfam family "tRNA". Rfam says of the family: Transfer RNA (tRNA) molecules are approximately 80 nucleotides in length. RNAcentral also lists the same sequence under 1 other name. Lineage: Archaea; Methanobacteriati; Methanobacteriota; Halobacteria; Halobacteriales; Natrialbaceae. The record is from RNAcentral.
GGAAGGGUCGCUCAGCGGUAGAGCACCGCGGUGCCCUUGGCCCGCGGCGGCGUCAAGCCUCGUGGCGUUCAAAUCCCACCCCUUCCG